GGAAUCAGGUGCGAAUCCUGAACAGUCCUGCUGCCGUGAGGAUCGAGUCUGAUGCAUGGGGGAAAGCCCGGUCACUGGAGCGCAAGGCUCCGGGAAGGCGCAUGGAGACGCCGGAGAUCCGAGUCGGAAAAC
This 132-nucleotide non-coding RNA is filed under the name Eubacterium sp. Lineage: Bacteria; Bacillati; Bacillota; Clostridia; Eubacteriales; Eubacteriaceae. The record is from RNAcentral.